CCUACGGGUGGCAGCAGUGAGGAAUAUUGGUCAAUGGGCGCGAGCCUGAACCAGCCAAGUAGCGUGAAGGAUGACUGCCCUACGGGUUGUAAACUUCUUUUAUAAAGGAAUAAAGUGAGGCACGUGUGCCUUUUUGUAUGUACUGUAUGAAUAAGGAUCGGCUAACGCCGUGCCAGCAGCCGCGGUAAUACGGAGGAUCCGAGCGUUAUCCGGAUUUAUUGGGUUUACAGGGAGCGUAGAGGGGUUGUUAAGGCAGUUGUGAAAGUUUGCGGCUCAACCGGAAAAUGGCAAUUGAUACUGGCAGUCUUGAGUACAGUUGAGGUAGGCGGCCUUCGUGGUGUAGCGGUUCACUGCUUAGCUCUCACG
RNAcentral lists this ribosomal RNA (366 nucleotides) under uncultured bacterium. Its description in RNAcentral is "partial 16S ribosomal RNA". It matches the Rfam family "Bacterial small subunit ribosomal RNA", at positions 338 to 701 of the family's 1533-position model. The record is from RNAcentral.